AUGAGCUUUGAGGUCCCUCCCAACCCAAACCAUUCCAUGGGUUAUGCACACACCCCCCAGCCCCUCCUGCGUGCACCUUGUGUGCACACAGCACAUCCCUGCACGCACGGCUGGGCACACACAGGUAUGGACACACAAACAUCAUCACGUACGUGUGACCUAUGGACACGUAUGUAUUCACACACACAUGGACACACACACAGCACACACACAAGUUCUCACACACCACAGACAUCAAACACACACACGUUCCCACACAAAGGCAUCAUACACAUGUACACAUACACACAUAGGGCCACACUCACAGUCACACACACUCACAGUCACACACACUCAGGGUUACACUCACACACACAGGUCACACUUUCACAGGGUCACACACAUUCUCACAGGGUUACACUCACACACUCACACAUAGGGUCACACUCACAAUCACACUCUCACAGUCACACACACACACAGGAUCACACUGUCACAGUCACACACACUGUCACUGUCACACACACACAGGGUCACACUCAAUCACACACACACACAGGGUCACACACUCACAGUCACACACACUGUCACAGUCACACACACACACACACACAGGGUCACAAUCACAGACACAUAGGCUCACACUCACAAUCUCACACACACACACACAGGUCACACACAAUCACAGACACACACAAACACACAGGUCACACGCUCACAAUCACACACACAGGUCACACACACACAGGCUUACACUCUCACAAUCACACUCACACACACAGGCUCACUCUCACAAUCACACACACACUCACACAGGGUCACACUCACAAUCACACACACACAAUCUCACACACACAAUCACACACAGACACAGACACAGACACACUCACACAGGGUCACACUCACAAUCACACACACACAAUCUCACACACACAGACACAGACACACACACUCACACAGGGUCACACAAUCACACAGACACACACACACACACUCACACAGGGUCACUCUCACAAUCACACACACACAAUCUCACACACACAGAUACAGACACACACACUCACACAGGGUCACACAAUCUCACAGACACAGACACACACACUCACACAGGGUCACACUCACAAUCACACACACACACACACACACGGUCACACUGUCACAGCCACACAGUCACACACUCUCAGUCCCCGCCCCCCGCACGCAAGGCCCGCUCCCAUUGGCUGUCCGGUCCCGGGGGCGGGGCUCCGCGCACGGACCAAUCACGUGUCUGCAGCUCCCCCAUUUCGUGUGCGGCCGCUGAGGGCGGCUGUUCCCGCCCCCGGCCCUCAGGGCUCCCCUCUCCAAGAGACCCCAAAGCCCCGUGCGGAGCCCACCCCCAUCGAGGGGCCAUCAGCGCUACGGACGGCUUUUUUCCUCUCCUUUUUCUCCUCCUUUAUAAAGUGCCCUUUGUACGUAUUUACCUUACGAAAGGAGAUUAAAACCUCGGGCCGGGUGCCCCAUCCUCUUCUAGGGCUGCCCCGGCCUGGCAAUGUUCAUUGUGCAGGUGAGAGGUGA
Molecule: long non-coding RNA, 1533 nt
Filed under: Cyanistes caeruleus (blue tit)
Lineage: Eukaryota; Metazoa; Chordata; Aves; Passeriformes; Paridae
Description: lncRNA (ENSCCEG00000022656.1)
Source: RNAcentral